AGUGAACGCUGGCGGUAGGCCUAACACAUGCAAGUCGAACGGCAACACAGUAAGAGCUUGCUCUUACGGGUGGCGAGUGGCGGACGGGUGAGGAAUAUAUCGGAAUCUACUUUUUCGUGGGGGAUAACGUAGGGAAACUUACGCUAAUACCGCAUACGACCUACGGGUGAAAGCAGGGGAACUUUGGACCUUGCGCGAUUGAAUGAGCCGAUGUCGGAUUAGCUAGUUGGCGGGGUAAAGGCCCACCAAGGCGACGAUCCGUAGCUGGUCUGAGAGGAUGAUCAGCCACACUGGAACUGAGACACGGUCCAGACUCCUACGGGAGGCAGCAGUGGGGAAUAUUGGACAAUGGGCGCAAGCCUGAUCCAGCCAUACCGCGUGGGUGAAGAAGGCCUUCGGGUUGUAAAGCCCUUUUGUUGGGAAAGAAAAGCAGCAGGUUAAUACCCCGCGGUUCUGACGGUACCCAAAGAAUAAGCACCGGCUAACUUCGUG
This 492-nucleotide ribosomal RNA is filed under the name uncultured bacterium. RNAcentral describes it as "partial 16S ribosomal RNA". It matches the Rfam family "Bacterial small subunit ribosomal RNA", at positions 29 to 507 of the family's 1533-position model. The record is from RNAcentral.